GCCCUCGUGGCGAAAUAGGUAGACGCAGUAGACUCAAAAUCUGCCGAUCGCAAGGUCAUACCGGUUCGAGUCCGGUCGAGGGCA
Molecule: transfer RNA, 84 nt
Filed under: Firmicutes bacterium CAG:345
Lineage: Bacteria; Bacillati; Bacillota
Rfam family: tRNA
About the family: Transfer RNA (tRNA) molecules are approximately 80 nucleotides in length. Their secondary structure includes four short double-helical elements and three loops (D, anti-codon, and T loops).
Source: Rfam by way of RNAcentral